CUUUGUCAAGGUCAAAGUCAAAGAAAAAAAAAAUUUUUACAAUAAAAAACAACACUAAACGAUCAUCAUCAUCAUCAUUAUCAUCAUCCAUUGCCAUUUUGGUUUGUCUCUCUUGUAUACAAAUAAAAGAGACCUCGAAAACCUAAAAAUUUUCUUUUUCCAUCAUGAUAGACAUAUCACACACACACCGAAAAAGAGACGAGAAUCAUAAUUAUGAAAAAAAAACCAGGCAAUAAUGAACAACUACUAAAUCAACCACCAAAAUGAGCUGUUUUUUUUUUUUUUUUUUGCUAUUGCAAUAAUCAUUCCCGAAUUAUCAUUGGAUACAUAGAAGACCACAUCAACAUUUGUGUGUGAAAAAGGGAAAAAAAAACACAUUUUUUCUUGUUUGAUUGUUACAUUCAUCACACACACACACGGAGAGAGCGAAAAAUGAACAUUCGUGUGUCUAAUUUUUUUUGCCAUCAUCAUUAUCAUCACACAACUAACUAAAGAUUCUUGACUUUGAUUCAAAAAGCGGCUGUUUUUUUUUGUUGCUCUCUUAGAAAACGAAACAAAAAGAUUCGGAUAAUUUUCACUUUGAAAUUAUUGCUGGAUAUGAUCCAAGAAUUGUAUCAAAUAUUAUUAUCAUCAUCAUCAUCAUCAUCAUCACCGUCAACAACGACAACGACAACGACGACAUUAUCAAAAUAGAGAUAUGUAUGUAUGGUGGUCUAAAUGAAAAUGAGAAUACGUCAUAUAAAGAAUGAAAAAUUCUAUCGAUUCUUUUGGUUUCUUUAUUCUGUGUUUAUGUGUGUGUGUGUGAGUGCGCGUUUUUUUUCUCGUCAUAAUGAAAAUAUUUUCACGAAAACUAUAACCAACCAAACGUUGAAUACAACCUUAAGCAACGAACCGAAUCUGAAUUUGUUGUUUGUUUUUUUUGUUAUUUACAUUUUCUAU
Non-coding RNA from Dermatophagoides farinae (American house dust mite), 939 nucleotides. Lineage: Eukaryota; Metazoa; Arthropoda; Arachnida; Sarcoptiformes; Pyroglyphidae. The record is from RefSeq and is a predicted model, not a curated record.